GAUGAACGCUGACAGAAUGCUUAACACAUGCAAGUCUACUUGAACUUCGGUUUGGGUGCGGACGGGUAGUUAACGCGUAAAGAACUCGCCUCACAGUUAGGGACAACAUUUGGAAACGAAUGCUAAUACCUGAUAUUAUGAUUUUAGGGCAUCCUAAGAUUAUGAAAGCUAUAUGCGCUGUGAGAGAGCUUUGCGUCCCAUUAGCUAGUUGGAGAGGUAACGGCUCACCAAGGCGAUGAUGGGUAGCCGGCCUGAGAGGGUGAACGGCCACAAGGGGACUGAGACACGGCCCUUACUCCUACGGGAGGCAGCAGUGGGGAAUAUUGGACAAUGGACCAAAAGUCUGAUCCAGCAAUUCUGUGUGCACGAUGACGUUUUUCGGAAUGUAAAGUGCUUUCAGUUGGGAAGAAAAAAAUGACGGUACCAACAGAAGAAGUCGGUA
This 442-nucleotide ribosomal RNA is filed under the name Fusobacterium periodonticum. RNAcentral describes it as "bacterial SSU rRNA". It matches the Rfam family "Bacterial small subunit ribosomal RNA", at positions 28 to 496 of the family's 1533-position model. The record is from RNAcentral. Lineage: Bacteria; Fusobacteriati; Fusobacteriota; Fusobacteriia; Fusobacteriales; Fusobacteriaceae.